This 717-nucleotide long non-coding RNA is filed under the name Salmo salar (Atlantic salmon). RNAcentral's name for it is "lncRNA (ENSSSAG00000097771.1)". Lineage: Eukaryota; Metazoa; Chordata; Actinopteri; Salmoniformes; Salmonidae. The record is from RNAcentral.
GUGACUGUCCUCUCUGUGUCCCCAUCAGGUGACUGUCCUCUCUGUGUCCCCAUCAGGUGACUGUCCUCUCUGUGUCCCCCAUCAGGUGACUGUCCUCUCUGUGUCCCCAUCAGGUGACUGUCCUCUCUGUGUCCCCAUCAGGUGACUGUCCUCUCUGUGUCCCCCAUCAGGUGACUGUCCUCUCUGUGUCCCCAUCAGGUGACUGUCCUCUCUGUGUCCCCAUCAGGUGACUGUCCUCUCUGUGUCCCCUAUCAGGUGACUGUCCUCUCUGUGUCCCCAUCAGGUGACUGUCCUCUCUGUGUCCCCAUCAGGUGACUGUCCUCUCUGUGUCCCCAUCAGGUGAUUGUCCUCUCUGUGUCCCCAUCAGGUGACUGUCCUCUCUGUGUCCCCCAUCAGGUGACUGUCCUCUCUGUGUCCCCAUCAGGUGACUGUCCUCUCUGUGUCCCCAUCAGGUGACUGUCCUCUGAGUUCACCCCCCUCUUCCAGGAUGAACGGCUACCCCCCUCCCUCCUUCCCCCAGGGAGGGUUCGACUCAUACGCCUCGCAACUCAAUGGUCAUGGUUCCCAGUCCACAGAGCCUCCAGAUUGCAACGCCAGGUCCAACACCAAGUCCAUCUCUAAAACCCUUUACGGUACAGAAGCUACCUGUCAUGUUCUCUCUCUCUCCAUCCAUCCCCCUCUCUCUCUCUCUCUCUCUCUCUCUCUGUCUCUCCAUCC